Molecule: ribosomal RNA, 900 nt
Filed under: uncultured archaeon
Lineage: Archaea
Description: bacterial SSU rRNA
Rfam family: Archaeal small subunit ribosomal RNA
Source: RNAcentral
GUGUCAGCCGCCGCGGUAAAACCAGCACCUCAAGUGGUCAGGAGGUUUAUUGGGCCUAAAGCAUCCGUAGCCUGAUCUAUAAGUUUCCGGUUAAAUCCACAUGCUCAACAUUUGGGCUGCCGGAAAAACUGUAGAUCUAGGGAGUGGGAGGGGUAGACGGUACUCGAUAGGAAGGGGUAAAAUCCUUUGAUCUAUUGAUGACCACCAGUGGCGAAGGCGGUCUACCAGAACACGUUCGACGGUGAGGGAUGAAAGCUGGGGGAGCAAACCGGAUUAGAUACCCGGGUAGUCCCAGCUGUAAACGAUGCAGACUCGGUGAUGCAUUGGCUUGUGGCCAGUGCAGUGCCGCAGGGAAGCCGUUAAGUUUGCCGCCUGGGAAGUACGUACGCAAGUAUGAAACUUAAAGGAAUUGGCGGGGGAGCACCACAAGGGGUGAAGCCUGCGGUUCAAUUGGAGUCAACGCCAGAAAUCUUACCCGGAGAGACAGCAGAAUGAAGGUCAAGCUGAAGACUUUACCAGACAAGCUGAGAGGUGGUGCAUGGCCGUCGCCAGCUCGUGCCGUGAGAUGUCCUGUUAAGUCAGGUAACGAGCGAGACCCUUGCCUCUAGUUGCUACCAUUGCUCUCUGGAGCAGUGGGGCGAAUUAGCGGGACCGCCGCAGUUAAUGCGGAGGAAGGAAAGGGCUACGGCAGGUCAGUAUGCCCCGAAACUCUGGGGCCACACGCGGGCUGCAAUGGUAGCGACAAUGUGUUCCAAACCCUAAAGGGGGAGGUAAUCAUCAAACGCUACCACAGUUAUGACUGAGGGCUGCAACUCGCCCUCACGAAUAUGGAAUCCCUAGUAACUGCGUGUCAUUACCACGCGGUGAAUACGUCCCUGCUCCUUGCACACACCGCCCGUC